AACCAGUCUUAUUUACUAAUAACCAGUCUUAUUUACUAUUAACCAGUCUUAUUUACUACUAACCAGUCUUAUUUACUACUAACCAGUCUUAUUUACUACUAACCAGUCUUAUUUACUAUUAACCAGUCUUAUUUACUACUAACCAGUCUUAUGUACUAUUAACCAGACCUAUGGCACCCUAUUCCCUAUAGAGUGCACUACUUUAGACCAGAUGCCUAUGGCACCCUAUUCCCUAUAGAGUGCACUACUUUAGACCAGAUGCCAUAGGCAUCCUAUUCCCUAUAUAGGGAAUAGGGUGCAAGGCACUCAGAACAGAAGAAAAUCAUACACUGUUAUCCAAAUAUAAACACACACACACACACCACACACACCACACACACACACCACACACCACACACACACACACACCACACACCACACACACACACACACACACCACACACCACACACACACACACACACCACACACACCACACACCACACACCACACACACACCACACACACACACACCACACACACACCACACACACCACACACACACACACCACACACACCACACACACACACCACACACCACACACACACACACACACACACACACACACACACACCACACACCACACACAUACACACACCACACACACACACACACACACACACACACACACCACACACACACACACCACACACCACACACACACCACACACACACACACACACACACACACACACACACACACACACCACACACCACACACAUACACACACACCACACACCACACACACACACACACACAUACACACACACACAUACACACACACACCACACAUACACCACACACACACACACCACACACCACACACACAUACACACACACACCACACACCACACACACACCACACAUACACCACACACCACACACACACACACACACACACUACACUUACCACACACCACACACCACAACACACACACCACACACAAACCACACACACCACACACACACCACACACACACACACCACACACACACCACACACCACACACCACACACCACACAUACACCACACCCACACACCACACAUACACCACACACACACACCACACACACCACACAUACACCACACACACACCACACACCACACACACCACACCACACAUACACACACCACACAUACACCACACACACACACACACACACCACACAUACACCACACAUACCACACACACACACACACCACACACAUACCACACACCACACAUACACCAUAAAUACACCACACACCACACAUACACCACACAUACACCACACACCACAAAUACACCACACACACACCACACCACACAUACACCACACACACACCACACACACACACCACACACCACAAAUACACACCACACACACCACACACCACAAAUACACCACACACACCACCACACACACCACACCAUACACACACACCACACACCACACACACUACACAUACCACAUCCUUUCAUGACGAGCCAGCACUAAACAAAACUGUGCCAGAGGAGAACAU
This 1542-nucleotide long non-coding RNA is filed under the name Oncorhynchus kisutch (coho salmon). RNAcentral describes it as "lncRNA (ENSOKIG00005048021.1)". The record is from RNAcentral. Lineage: Eukaryota; Metazoa; Chordata; Actinopteri; Salmoniformes; Salmonidae.